RNAcentral lists this ribosomal RNA (97 nucleotides) under Escherichia coli. RNAcentral describes it as "partial 16S ribosomal RNA". It matches the Rfam family "Bacterial small subunit ribosomal RNA", at positions 1 to 92 of the family's 1533-position model. The record is from RNAcentral. Lineage: Bacteria; Pseudomonadati; Pseudomonadota; Gammaproteobacteria; Enterobacterales; Enterobacteriaceae.
UUAAAUUGAAGAGUUUGAUCAUGGCUCAGAUUGAACGCUGGCGGCAGGCCUAACACAUGCAAGUCGAACGGUAACAGGAAGAAGCUUGCUUCUUUGC